Molecule: long non-coding RNA, 1424 nt
Organism: Oreochromis aureus
Lineage: Eukaryota; Metazoa; Chordata; Actinopteri; Cichliformes; Cichlidae
Exons: 3
Source: RefSeq, a predicted model, not a curated record
UGUUUUAUUCAGAAAAAAACAUUGUGUGUAUUUUUGAUCAUAACUCCUGUUUUAUCUGGCAUCAUGAUGGCAACAUGAUUUAAAAACUGGUAUAUAGUUUGAAAUAUGGGCUUUUGACACAAGUUGAAGCCAAGACUCUGUGUCGCUGCAUCUUGCUGCUGUGCCGUCUUAAAUAGGUCAUGUGAUUUUCACGCGCCGGCACAUCUGCCGACCUCAGAGGGUUAAGUAUAAAGUAGAUGAUUAGCAAAUUUGUUGAAAAUGUGUCAAUCAGCCCCACCUGGCUCUAUCCCUAAAAAUGAAUUCACUGAUAUCUUCUGGAAUAAGAAAUAAUGUCCUCUUACUUCCUAUCAUUGUUUUUUCAGACUUAAUGUCUGUAACCUCUCAGAGAGAAGCUGUGAAGCUCUGUCCUCAGUUCUCAGUUCCCAGUCAUCUAGUCUAAGAGAGCUGGACCUGAGUAACAACAACCUACAAGAUUCAGGAGUGAAGAUUCUGUCCAUCGGGGUGAAGAGUCCACACUGUAAACUAGAAAGUCUCAGGUCAGAUCAAUAUAUAUGGAAUAUAUAUGAUAUGGAAUUGCUUUUUCUGUUCAUAUACAGGUGAAACUCAAAAAAUUAAAUAUCGUGCAAAAGUUCGUUUAUUUCAGCAAUUCAACUUAAAAGGUGAAACAAAUGUAAGAUAUAGACUGAUGUAAUAUGCAAAUUUUCCAAGAUUUUGAAUUUGAGGUUUUCAUAAGCUGUAAGCCAUAAUCAGAAAAAUUCUAAGUAACAAAAUCUUUAAAUAUUUCGCUUUGCCUUUGAUGAGUUUAUGUCAUCUAUUAGUUUCAUCUUUUAAGUUGAAUUACUGAAAUAAAUAAACUUUUGCAUAAUAUUCUAAUUUAUUGAGUUUCACCUGUAUGUGUUGUUAUAUUUUUUUUGUUUCGAACUUGGCUGGUAUCCUUAUAUUGAAUAAUCAAGUGAGGAGUGAAGCCAGAAAAAAAAUUCAUGUUACCAACUCUAGUAACUCCUCUAUGUAUCAUGAAGACACUUUAACAACCAGCGUUGUUUGUCUCUGUGGUUUUUCAGACUUAAUGUCUGUAACCUCUCAGAGAGAAGCUGUGAGGCUCUGUCCUCAGUUCUCACCUCCCAGUCAUCUAGUCUGAAAGAGCUGGACCUGAGUAACAACAACUUACAAGAUUCAGGAGUGAAGAUUCUGUCUGUUGGGGUCAAGAGUCCACACUGUAGACUAGAAAUUCUCAGACUAAGUGGCUGUAAACUCUCAGAAAGAAGCUGUGAAGAUGUGUCCUCAGUUCUCAGCUCCCAGUUCUGUAGUCUGACAGAGCUGGACCUGAGUAACAACAACCUCAAUGAUUCAGGAGUGAAAAUGCUGAAGAGUCCAAACUCUACAAUUAUCAGGGUGGAGCCUGCUGGAGUCCGAUGGUUGAGACC